AUGUGAUGCAGAAAAGUUCCCAUCAUGCAGAGCCCCAGCAAAAUGUCAGUGGUUUCUACUUCAAUUAGCCCUGUUGUGUCUGGAUUACAAGGUUGGGCCGAUCUUCCGGAUGGCCCCCUUUACUCCAUUGUUGCUCUGUUGGGAUCCUCCAUUGACAUUCUUGCUUUUGCUGCAACCUGCCACUCUUGGCGUGCAGCAUUCUCCUCCUACCGAUCUGCAUCUAACUUAUGCACAUUAAUCCCACCUCUUCUUAUCCGACCCGCUGGUCCUAACCAAGGUUCUUCUCUUCCUUCCAAGAAUUCUCGAUACAUGCUACGCAUACGUAAAGUCAUUGAUGUAGCUAGCAACAAUAGCGCCAUUCGCUGCCAGAUUCCUCAAGAAACUUUUGAGAACAUGCACUUUGCUGGCUCUUCACAUGGCCAUCUCAUCUGCUGCUACCGUGGAGAUUGUCUUGUUGUCGAUGUGUUCACCGGGGCCAUGGUUUCGCCUCCACGUCUCCCUUUCAGCAACAGCUACUAUGGUGGCACUCUCACUGCUCCACUUACAUCUCCCAACUCACAUCUCCUUGUAAGCACUCAAUCCUCCCUGUUUGAUUGGCCCGUUGGAAGUGACUCUUGGCAGGAACUCCAACUUCCUCAUGGAUGGAUAUUUCAGAUCGUGCAGUUCAACGGUCAGUUCAUCGCCAUGGACCACGAUAUGGGGAUCUAUACUUUGCGGUUGGCCCCUCGGUUAGGCCUGCGGGAGAUAUCAAUCGAGUGGUGCAGCGAGAUAGAGCCAGAAUCUUUUGUGCAGGCAUGGCUUGUGGUCUGUGGAGACAAUCUCCUCAUAGUCGACCACUUUGUGCACCUAUCGUCCGAAGAUCCUGUGUGCCACCGCCUCGACAUGUCGACCGAGCCCGCGAAGUGGGUGAAGGUGAAGACGUUGGACAACUGGGCGAUCUUCGUCGGGGGAGAUGAGCGGAGCCCUCCGUUUGCUUGCGUGCGCCCGGAGCGGUGGGGAGGGACGAGCAACAACUUGUACUACGCCCAUCACUCCCAGCCUUGGAGCGUGCACUAGCUGCGCGGCCAUGUGGACCUUGCUCCAACCAGCCAUCCCAACUUCAACUGGCGUAAGAGGUUUGUGCCCACAGCGAUGGCCAUGUGGGUGUACCCGAGCAUGUUCUACUCCGAUGGCCGGUGA
This 1179-nucleotide ribosomal RNA is filed under the name Triticum aestivum (bread wheat). RNAcentral's name for it is "partial small subunit ribosomal RNA". Lineage: Eukaryota; Viridiplantae; Streptophyta; Magnoliopsida; Poales; Poaceae. The record is from RNAcentral.